Halobacillus halophilus DSM 2266 is the source of this 154-nucleotide regulatory RNA element. It matches the Rfam family "Ribosomal protein L10 leader". Rfam says of the family: This family is a putative r-protein leader autoregulatory structure found in B. subtilis and other low-GC Gram-positive bacteria. It is located in the 5' untranslated regions of mRNAs encoding ribosomal proteins L10 and L12 (rplJ-rplL). NCBI's taxonomy places the organism in Bacteria, Bacillati, Bacillota, Bacilli, Caryophanales, Bacillaceae. The record is from Rfam.
AUAAAUGAAUACGUUAUACCGUAGACAGCAGGUGCGGAUGCAACUCCGCUUAAUUUCCUGCCGAGGUGUGUGAAUAAGCAGGACAGCGCUAAAAACGCCCUGUUCUCUCAUACGUACCUCCAUGUCUGCAUGGAGGUACUUUUUUGUGAAACCU